RNAcentral lists this long non-coding RNA (410 nucleotides) under Carica papaya (papaya). Its description in RNAcentral is "long non-coding RNA (CPAP_LNC010867)". Lineage: Eukaryota; Viridiplantae; Streptophyta; Magnoliopsida; Brassicales; Caricaceae. The record is from RNAcentral.
CUACUAUAGCUCCCCACCUCCGCCAUCGCCACCUCACUCGCCUCCGCCGCCUCCACAUUCUCCUCCACCACCAGCCUAUCCUUACUUGUCGCCACCGCCUCCACCAACACCAGUCUAUUCUCCACCGCCCCCGGUACAUUCUCCCCCACCGCCACCUCCUUGUAUAGAGCCACCUCCUCCGCCGCCCUGUGUAGAGUAUUCACCACCUCCACCACCAUCUCCAACUCCUUACAAGCCGCCACCCUCACCAUCUCCACCGCCUCCACCGGUUCACAAAUCACCACCGCCAGUUCAUUACAGUCCACCACCGCCAGUUCAUUACAGUUCGCCGCCACCACCAGUUCAUUACAGUUCGCCGCCACCACCAGUUCAUUAUAGUUCACCUCCACCACCGUCCCCAUCACCACCAC